GCAUCAGCCACCUCCAAGGAGUCUGCUGGGUGGUGACAAUAGCAGGAUGCAGUCCCACACCCAGCUGGGAUUUACACCCUUGGUCUCCUGGAGAAAUCAUCGGUAUGAAAAGAUGCACAUGUUGCCGGCAGCUAUAGCACAUAUUGCAUGGCAUGACACACACAUAAGUGAGAUUAAUAUGAGUUCUGGGCAUCAUUAGCUCAAUUAAAACUGUGAUUUUUUAGUUCAGACCUACAGGCCAUUGCAGAGAAGAGUAAUCAUAAGGCAGAAAUGAGUUCCCUAGUUAAAAAUUAAUUCCCUAGACUAAAAAUAUAAUCAAACGAUGUCUACAGUAUUUUAUGAAGAGCUGAGAGGAUAAUAAAAUUUAAAGCAGUGCAACAUUUGCAUUUUGUUCAUUUCUAUCCAUAUUUUUCCACAGACUGCCUUUCUCUGUGCUUGUUAAUCAUAUGCACUGCUACAGCCCUGGCAUUUUAAGAUCACUCUUCACAUCAAGAUUGAAAGGAAACUAAUUACAAUCACAUUUCAGGGUGGUUGUUUAAAGCUGGUACAGCACUGACUACAGCACAGGAGCCUUGACCUUUAUUUGUAAGCAUGGAAAUAAGGUAAAGAUGAAAGAUUGCUUUUCCUCCAGCUCAUAUGCAGGGAUCAGGAGGCCCUGUGGGGAAGCAGAGAGGUGGGAAGUCCCCAUACAAUUUCUCUCCUCGCCUCCUCUCCUGUGCUGGCAGCAGAGGCCAGUAGUGCUAUGCAGAAGCUGUGCUCCACUGCAGCGAGAGGUGAAGGAAAGCACCACGUAUUUUGCAGCUCCCUUGGGCUGCCGAAGGAACAAGCAGGGAAUUAGCAGACCUCCUCAAACGCCCCUCUUGUUUGAACCCCAGUCCUACUCGUUUUAAUCUAUCAGUCAAUGACAAAUCCUUCCCUGGGCCUGGGCACAGGCACAAGACCAUCAGCUCGGUGCUGCAUGCCGUGCUCAUGCAAUUAUCAAGGUACCAAUGUGCAUGGACUACCUGUGAGCAAGAGAUGUAGAUGGUACUGCUAUCUUUUCUGCUGCUCACAUUAUAGCUUAGUAGCAAUAAUAGGAUCUGUGAGGAUGCAUCGGGGAAGAAUAAGGACCCCUAACCUGAGGAAAUACAGUUUUGGACCUGCCCUGACCCCUCAAGCUGCUUGCUUGCUGCUGGCUUUCUCACCUCUGGUCCUCCACGGUGAUGCUCACUUGGCUUGCUCAUCUAAAUAA
RNAcentral lists this long non-coding RNA (1231 nucleotides) under Cairina moschata (Muscovy duck). RNAcentral's name for it is "domestica (muscovy Duck (domestic type)) lncRNA (ENSCMMG00000012168.1)". The record is from RNAcentral. Lineage: Eukaryota; Metazoa; Chordata; Aves; Anseriformes; Anatidae.